This 492-nucleotide ribosomal RNA is filed under the name uncultured bacterium. Its description in RNAcentral is "partial 16S ribosomal RNA". It matches the Rfam family "Bacterial small subunit ribosomal RNA", at positions 29 to 507 of the family's 1533-position model. The record is from RNAcentral.
AGUGAACGCUGGCGGUAGGCCUAACACAUGCAAGUCGAACGGCAGCACAGUAAGAGCUUGCUCUUACGGGUGGCGAGUGGCGGACGCGUGAGGAAUACAUCGGAAUCUACUUUUUCGUGGGGGAUAACGUAGGGAAACUUACGCUAAUACCGCAUACGACCUUCGGGUGAAAGCAGGGGAUCUUCGGACCUUGCGCGAUUGAAUGAGCCGAUGUCGGAUUAGCUAGUUGGCGGGGUAAAGGCCCACCAAGGCGACGAUCCGUAGCUGGUCUGAGAGGAUGAUCAGCCACACUGGAACUGAGACACGGUCCAGACUCCUACGGGAGGCAGCAGUGGGGAAUAUUGGACAAUGGGCGCAAGCCUGAUCCAGCCAUACCGCGUGGGUGAAGAAGGCCUUCGGGUUGUAAAGCCCUUUUGUUGGGAAAGAAAAGCAGCAGGUUAAUACCCCGCUGUUCUGACGGUACCCAAAGAAUAAGCACCGGCUAACUUCGUG